Molecule: ribosomal RNA, 639 nt
Filed under: uncultured Actinomycetes bacterium
Lineage: Bacteria; Bacillati; Actinomycetota; Actinomycetes
Description: bacterial SSU rRNA
Rfam family: Bacterial small subunit ribosomal RNA
Source: RNAcentral
CGCGGCCUAUCAGCUUGUUGGUGAGGUAACGGCUCACCAAGGCAUCGACGGGUAGCUGGUCUGAGAGGACGAUCAGCCACACUGGGACUGAGACACGGCCCAGACUCCUACGGGAGGCAGCAGUAGGGAAUCUUGCGCAAUGGGCGAAAGCCUGACGCAGCAACGCCGCGUGGGGGAUGAAUGCCUUCGGGUUGUAAACCCCUUUCAGCAGGGACGAAAAUGACGGUACCUGCAGAAGAAGCUCCGGCCAACUACGUGCCGGCAGCCGCGGUAAUACGUAGGAAGCGAGCGUUGUCCGGAAUUAUUGGGCGUAAAGAGCUCGUAGGCGGUUCAGUAAGUCGGGUGUGAAAACUCAAGGCUCAACCUUGAGACGCCACUCGAUACCGCUGUGACUUGAGUCCGGUAGAGGAGUGUGGAAUUCCUGGUGUAGCGGUGAAAUGCGCAGAUAUCAGGAGGAACACCAGCGGCGAAGGCGGCACUCUGGGCCGGUACUGACGCUGAGGAGCGAAAGCAUGGGGAGCAAACAGGAUUAGAUACCCUGGUAGUCCAUGCCGUAAACGUUGGGCACUAGGUAUGGGAUCAUAUCAACGGAUUCCGUGCCGUAGCUAACGCAUUAAGUGCCCCGCCUGGGGAGUACGG